RNA transcript from Homo sapiens (human), 2753 nucleotides. It is a transcript of the gene named epithelial mitogen, with no coding region annotated. NCBI's taxonomy places the organism in Eukaryota, Metazoa, Chordata, Mammalia, Primates, Hominidae. The record is from RefSeq and is marked reviewed. The transcript has 6 exons.
AAUAAAAACCUUCCACCCGUCAGUCUAGAAGGAUAAGAGAAAGAAAGUUAAGCAACUACAGGAAAUGGCUUUGGGAGUUCCAAUAUCAGUCUAUCUUUUAUUCAACGCAAUGACAGCACUGACCGAAGAGGCAGCCGUGACUGUAACACCUCCAAUCACAGCCCAGCAAGGUAACUGGACAGUUAACAAAACAGAAGCUGACAACAUAGAAGGACCCAUAGCCUUGAAGUUCUCACACCUUUGCCUGGAAGAUCAUAACAGUUACUGCAUCAACGGUGCUUGUGCAUUCCACCAUGAGCUAGAGAAAGCCAUCUGCAGGUGUUUUACUGGUUAUACUGGAGAAAGGUGAAACCUGUAAUAAAGUAAGGAAAGCAGAUGGAGCACAAGAAGAAGCUAAGCAAAGAUGUGGCUUUAACUGAAGUGUAGCCCCAGCCUGAUUCCACAGGGAGAUCUAGAAUGUGAAUAGCAGUGUAGACCUCUCCCAAGGAGAUGAGGCAUCUGGAUUUCAAUAUCCCAUAUUAUUCAAUCAUGGAUUCAUGUGGGGUGUCUAAAAUUGAAAUCGCCUUACAAUGUCUGUUCUGGAGAAAGACGACCACUGUGAGGCCUUUGUGAAGAAUUUUCAUCAAGGCAUCUGUAGAGAUCAGUGAGCCCAAAAUUAAAGUUUUCAGAUGAAACAACAAAACUUGUCAAGCUGACUAGACUCGAAAAUAAUGAAAGUUGGGAUCACAAUGAAAUGAGAAGAUAAAAUUCAGCGUUGGCCUUUAGACUUUGCCAUCCUUAAGGAGUGAUGGAAGCCAAGUGAACAAGCCUCAGUGACACAAGUCAAAUUCAUAGUUUCACUCUGGGUUUUUUGUUGUUGUGUGGUUAUUAUUCUCACUACAGAAAGACUGAGUUUCAUGCUCCUGGCUAUGUCAGAUGUGAAUUUUCAUGGGAAUAAUAAUCAACCUUGCAGCAAGCCAAAGCAAUGCCUCGCUUGGGUUCUUCAUGUUCUUACUACCCAGCGUUUUUUACCACCUAGAUGGGCCUCUCUAAGUCUAUUUGCUCAAUGAACCUUAUCCCAAACUUGUUGUUUUCAUGGUGUCUGAAAGAAUGUGAUGUCAGCUUUUAGAAUGAAAUCAGUGUUAAGGUACCUCCAGUGAACCAAACAUGUGUCUUAAAUCUAAGCCACUGAAAACAGAAGGGAAUGUCCAAGGCAAAUACAAAUCAUACACAGCUUGUAACAACAUACAGCCUUUCUAUGUGAAAUAAUGGAAUAAACUAAAGAGUUUCUGAAGACUGAAGCUAUCUGGAUAUCAAGUCUGGAGUAGGCAAAGCAUUUCCAUUUCUACAUGGAUUAUAAAACUUUGUGUUGGACUCAUUGGUCCCUAAUGCUUUUGUUCAUCACUUCUUCCAGUUAUCAGUGGAAUUACCUGGUGACCAUUCAUUUGGACCGAAAUCCUGGAAGUCUCCUACUGAAUAAAAGUCUACAAUUGGCCCUAAAAUAGAAACUGAAAAACAGGACAUAGAAUUUUUUCACCAGACCACAGCAUGUGGAAACUUUCUUUAUCAUUUUUGAACACUUGUUAACAGAUUUGCACAUAGAGGGAGAGAAAAAAAAUGGAGUAACAGUCAAAAUAAUAAUAAUCAGUAUCCAGGCCAGGCGUGGUGGUUCACGCCUGUAAUCCUAGCACUUUGGGAGGCCGAGGCGGAUGGAGCACCUGAGGUCAGGAGUUUGAGACCAGCCUGGCCAACAUGGUGAAACCCUGUCUCUACUAAAAAUACAAAAAUUAGCUGGGCGUGGUGGUGCAUGCCUGUAAUCCCAGCUACUCCAGAGGCUGACACAGGACAAUCACUUGAACCCAGGAGGCAGAGGUUGUAGUGAGCCGAGAUGGCAACCCUGCACUCCAACCUGGGUGACAAGAGCGAAACUCCAUCUCAAAAAAAAAAAAAAAAAUCAGUAUCCUUCCUCUUAGUUAUAUUUCUGCCACUUAAUUCAAACAGUCAUAUGCAGGUCGCUUAAUUUAUUUGUGCUUUUGUUUCAUCUUCUACAAGGCCCUCUUAGCUCUAAAACUUGACAGUGGAAUAAGGAAAUGUUUUUCCAAAUCUGCAUUGCCGGUGAGAUCCUCAACAUCAGCAUGUUGAGAUGGACCUCAACCCCACCUCUAACCCUGAAACACACUACUCGAUAUUAUCUUAGGUAUGUUUUAGGGUUUAGUUUGUAAAAUAAUAAUUUAUUUUUGAAGGAAAUAUAAAAUAUUAAAGAGUAAUAAUAGCUAUCAUUUUUUAAGAUUCAAUCUAAAACAAUGGACUCUUUUUUUUUCCAUUUGUGAUGUAGAUAAGCAAGACAAUUUUGAUCAUGAGUGGUGAAAAGAGGAUCAAACUUGACUAUUCUUGCAAUGGCAGUCCAGCAACAAGCCUUUCAUUUACAUUAAAUUAUAACUUUUCAUUCAUUCCUAAACCAAACUUAAAAUUCUGCUUUCCUUUGAGUAGAAGGUAUUUAACUUGUUUUGUUUUUCCUUCAGAAGGAAUUUAAUGCAAACGGAUUGCAGUCAGCACUUUCUGAAUGUUUUCACACAGUAUGCAAAGCUUACAUCAUACCAAGGAGUGGAGAGUUGAAGUUUCCUCCCAGUGACUCCAGUGACAGACCACACCUAGAAAGCGUUUCUCUUCCUGAGUAUUUCAAAAAGAUGUAAAAGAGCUGGGGAGAGUAUGGGAAGAAACAAUACAGGAUUGCCUUUAAUUAAUUAAGAAUUGCCUCCUGAUAAAAGGAAAAA